This is an RNA transcript of Perca fluviatilis (European perch), 873 nucleotides long. It is a transcript of the gene named Fc receptor-like protein 5, with no coding region annotated. NCBI's taxonomy places the organism in Eukaryota, Metazoa, Chordata, Actinopteri, Perciformes, Percidae. The record is from RefSeq and is a predicted model, not a curated record. The transcript is spliced from 2 exons.
GAGUGGAGUUUACUGGUGUGAGUCCAGAGAGGGAGCAACCAGUAACAGCAUCAACAUCACUGUCACUGGUAAGAUCAGACUGUGGAGUCAGUAUUGAUGAAGCUGUGUGUGAAUGGAUGACAUGCUGUAGUUUGUCUCUGUGCAGGCUGUUCUCAUGAAGCAUUUGAACAUAUAGCUGUGAAAAGCAAAGUGUUGUAAUUUGUAUGUGUCACAGGGCGGAAGUAGAUUUUAUUUAAGCAUGCUUUUACUAUUUGCUGCGCUUUUAUCUUUUAUAUAACAUGCUUUAAUUUUGAAAUGUGCGGUGUGUGUUUUUAAUGUUGGUUUUACUUACCGCCAGUGAACAUUUUAGUAAUCAGGACUUAAGGACUUGCACCUGGGAGCCAGAGAUAGGUUGCUUGGUUGUUAAACAUACAAAGGGCAGAACAGCAACAGAACAGUGAAGUAGCACAUGAUGGAGGACACUGAGGGUGAAGAAGUACAAGGGAAGGAGGACAUGGAGAGAAUGAGAGCACACGAUGGAGGAUGCAGAGCACAACAGACGGAGGAUGCAGAGCACAACAGACGGAGAGGAGUGGACGGAGAGCCACAGAGAGAGAGCCACAGAGGAGGACUGAGAGUACACCGAAAAACUUGAACACCGAUCGCUAGCGGCAACAGUGGGAGAAGGUAAAACUUCUCCCUUCCGCGCUAUGGCCCAGGAGAGGAGCCAAACGACAAAGAAGCUGGUUGCCAGAGGAGACCGGGGACAUUUUAAUCUCCCAUUCCUGUUCUGUUGUACUUGUGUUUUUAUUUUUAAUUUUUUUUUACUCACAGUUUUAAACCCAGUGGUUUUAACUAAUCUACCCUGGAAUAAAGGACCUGUUUUAAUCUUUA